This 1680-nucleotide long non-coding RNA is filed under the name Sitophilus oryzae (rice weevil). Its description in RNAcentral is "uncharacterized LOC115880387". The record is from RNAcentral. Lineage: Eukaryota; Metazoa; Arthropoda; Insecta; Coleoptera; Curculionidae.
UGUAAUUUUACAUUAUAGUGAGAAUUAAAGUAUUAGUAAUUUAUUUUUGUUACUAAAAUUAAAUUCAGUUUGUUCCUGCAUGAAUCUUUUUAGUACUAAACUGCUUUGGAACGAAUUUUUUGGGGGACAACAGCAAGAUUAGGGCCAUCUUCUAGAUGCCAUCAGGUAGGUGCGCUAGCGUAGUCGUUUGUUGUAGCAUUAUCCCUUUUCCCCCUUUUUAAAAAAUGUUUGUAAGACGCCUGAAAUUUGUAUAAGUUAGUUAUAUAAGUAGUUGAAUAAGAAUUGGUGAGACAUGGAAAGUAGAACAGGACAGAGAAGAUGAAAGAGGAUUGCUUUGAAAUAGAAGGAAAGGAGAUAGAAGAUGUUUGAGGAAAGGAGGAGGAUUUUGUUCGCUGUAACGGAAGUUUUUUGAAUGAAAUUUGGAGCAACUGUAUUAAGAUGUUAUUGGUAUCUUGGACGUCAAGUUUCAUUUAUUUACGUAUUAUACAAGCAUAUCUAUUGGUGGAAAUGUAGAAUGGCAGCUGUUAUAACAACUUGGAUGAAUUAUUAGACACACCAAAGAAGUUUUGACAUAAUUUAAACUGGGAAAAGGCUCACCGAUGACCAAUUUAUUCUACAGUAGAUACAGGACAUUAAAUUGACUUCAACAACGCAGAUAUCUCUCAAAAAUGAUAUCUGUUCGAGUAAUGUACUGGGCGUUGACAGUUGCUGUUACAAAUCUGCAAAUGAGUUAGAACUGUACAUAAGUUUGACGAAUGCCGGAGGAAUUUUUUGAAUAAAAUGAUACUGAAAAUCUCACCCACAAAUGACAAUUUCAAGAUACAAUCAAUAGUACUUAGAUUGACUGGCCUUCAUUACCAUUGCGCUAUGAAAAUGUAAGCAAAACAAAUUGGUAUUAAUGGACGUUUUGACAGCUGUUUCCAGUCCAAGUUCCAGUUUUAAUGGAAAACCUUUAAUGGACACAGAAAAAUGCCAUUUACUGGAUUGACUUCAACACCUGUUGCCUUUUAAUAAUGGCAUACGAUAGGACAAUGGCUAUUAGAAACCGAUAAGACAUACUAGCUGCAAAUAAUAUGUAUGGUGGUUAUAAAAGAGAUUUAAAUGAAAUGAGAGAGAGAAAAAAACCAUUUUGAACUGCUGUUACUUAAUAGCUGUUAGAGGAGAUUCAGUUCUUCAUCAAUGGUAUACGAUGGGACAAUUGCUGUUAAAAAUCCACAAGCCAUACUAUCUGCAAAAAUUAUGGUUGAUAGAAAAAAGCUUUAAAUGGAAUGAAACUUGUGCAGAAGAAAUUAAGAAAAACCAUUUUGAACUGCUGUUACUUAAUAGCUGUUAGAGCGGAUCCAGUUCUUCAUCAAUGGUAUACGCUGGGACAAUUGCUGUUGAAAAUCCACAAGCCGUACUAUCUGCAAAUAUUAUGGUGGUUAGGCUUUAAAAAGCUUUAAAUGGAAUGAAACUUGCAGGAAAAGACUCAGAAAGACCAUUUAGGACUGUACUUAACAGCUGUUGAAAAGUGGUGGCAGUCCUUUAUCAAUGAUAUCUCCGCAUUUUCUUAACAGUGGAUAUCAACAGUUGCUCCUACUCCUCACUUUCCUCUUUCACUCAACAUAAACCUGACUCAAUACUCCUCAAUGCCUCACCAAGGUUCGUUAGCUUCAUUAAUAGUGUUAUUGUUUCAAUAAA